This 271-nucleotide ribosomal RNA is filed under the name uncultured archaeon. RNAcentral's name for it is "partial 16S ribosomal RNA". It matches the Rfam family "Archaeal small subunit ribosomal RNA", at positions 748 to 1008 of the family's 1478-position model. The record is from RNAcentral.
AGGGUGUAAACGCUGCAGACUUGGUGUUGGGAACCCCUUUCGGGGGUGGCUCAGUGCCGGAGAGAAGUUGUUAAGUCUGCUACUUGGGGAGGUACGUCCGCAAGGAUGAAACUUAAAAGGAAAUUGGCGGGGGGAGGCACCGCAACGGGAGGAGCGUGCGGUUUAAUUGGAUUCAACGCCGAAAAACUACACCAGCAGCGACUGUUACAUGAAAGUACAGGUUGAUGACCUUACUAGAUUUCUAGAGAGGAGGUGCAUGGCGUCAGUGACU